GUGGGGAAUAUUAGGCAAUGGGCGAAAGCCUGACCUAGCAACGCCGCGUGAAGGAAGAAGGCCUUCGGGUUGUAAACUUCUUUUAUGAGGGACGAAGGACGUGACGGUACCUCAUGAAUAAGCCACGGCUAACUACGUGCCAGCAGCCGCGGUAAUACGUAGGUGGCGAGCGUUGUCCGGAUUUACUGGGUGUAAAGGGCGCGUAGGCGGACUGGCAAGUCAGAUGUGAAAUACAGGGGCUCAACCCCUGAACUGCAUUUGAAACUGUUGGUCUUGAGUAUCGGAGAGGCAAGCGGAAUUCCUAGUGUAGCGGUGAAAUGCGUAGAUAUUAGGAGGAACACCAGUGGCGAAGGCGGCUUGCUGGACGACAACUGACGCUGAGGCGCGAAAGCGUGGGGAGCAAACAGGAUUAGAUACCCUAGUAGUCC
RNAcentral lists this ribosomal RNA (428 nucleotides) under uncultured bacterium. Its description in RNAcentral is "partial 16S ribosomal RNA". It matches the Rfam family "Bacterial small subunit ribosomal RNA", at positions 354 to 796 of the family's 1533-position model. The record is from RNAcentral.